This 501-nucleotide ribosomal RNA is filed under the name uncultured bacterium. RNAcentral describes it as "partial 16S ribosomal RNA". It matches the Rfam family "Bacterial small subunit ribosomal RNA", at positions 30 to 523 of the family's 1533-position model. The record is from RNAcentral.
AUUGAACGCUGGCGGCAGGCUUAACAAAUGCAAGUCGAGCGGAGAUGAGGUGCUUGCACCUUAUCUUAGCGGCGGACGGGUGAGUAAUGCUUAGGAAUCUGCCAUUUAGUGGGGGACAACAUUCCGAAAGGAAUGCUAAUACCGCAUACGUCCUACGGGAGAAAGCAGGGGAUCUUCGGACCUUGCGAUAAAUGAUGAGCCUACGUCGGAUUAGCUAGUUGGUGGGGUAAAGGCCUACAAAGGCGACGAUCUGUAGCGGGUCGGAGAGGAUGAUCCGCCACAAUGGGACUGAGAGACGGCCCAGACUCCUACGGGAGGCAGCAGUGGGGAAUAUUGGACAAUGGGGGGAACCCUGAUCCAGCCAUGCCGCGUGUGUGAAGAAGGCCUUAUGGUUGUAAAGCACUUUAAGCGAGGAGGAGGCUCUUUUGGUUAAUACCCAAGAUGAGUGGACGUUACUCGCAGAAUAAGCACCGGCUAACUCUGUGCCAGCCGCCGCGGUAA